UACGUAGGGGGCAAGCGUUGUUCGGAAUUACUGGGCGUAAAGGGCGCGUAGGCGGUACGACAAGUCUGGUGUGAAAGCCCGGGGCUCAACCCCGGAAUGUCGUUGGAAACUGUCGAACUUGAGUGCGGAAGAGGCAACUGGAAUUCCCAGUGUAGCGGUGAAAUGCGUAGAUAUUGGGAAGAACACCUGAGGCGAAGGCGGGAUGCUGGGACGACACUGACGCUGAGGCGCGAAAGCGUGGGGAGCAAACAGG
Molecule: ribosomal RNA, 253 nt
Filed under: uncultured bacterium
Lineage: Bacteria
Description: partial 16S ribosomal RNA
Rfam family: Bacterial small subunit ribosomal RNA
Source: RNAcentral